This is a small nucleolar RNA of Cavia aperea (Brazilian guinea pig), 125 nucleotides long. The record is from Ensembl. Lineage: Eukaryota; Metazoa; Chordata; Mammalia; Rodentia; Caviidae.
CUGGCUCUGAAUCAAGGCCGGCAGCUUCCUGACGCUGUUGGUUUCAAGUAGGAGCCUAAAGGGAUGUCUUUCUAUGAUCUGUUGGCCAUUUCAGAACUUGGUCAAUUCAUUAGAAAGAAACAGCU